UGGACAGACUAUUGUAUUCGACUGUAUUAACGGCGUGAAAUAGGGGAUUACACUAUUUUUAAAACGGAAAGUUAAUCAAUUAAUAUAAUAGACUCCU
This is a non-coding RNA of Nicotiana sylvestris (wood tobacco), 97 nucleotides long. NCBI's taxonomy places the organism in Eukaryota, Viridiplantae, Streptophyta, Magnoliopsida, Solanales, Solanaceae. The record is from Rfam.